GAAAUGCGAUAAGUAGUGUGAAUUGCAGAAUUCAGUGAAUCAUCGAAUCUUUGAACGCACAUUGCGCCCCUUGGUAUUCCAUGGGGCAUGCCUGUUCGAGCGUCAUUACGCACCCUCAAGCCCGGCUUGUGUGAUGGGCCCCGGCGUCUCGUUCGCGAGACGGGCCCGAAAGGCAGCGGCGGCGUCGACCCGAUGAGCCCGAGCGUAUGGGGACUUCUGUCACACGUUCGCGGUGCGGACCGGCGCCUGCUUGACUUUUCUGAUUAUCCAGGUUGACCUCGGAUCAGGUAGGGAUACCCGCUGAACUUAAGC
This 312-nucleotide unclassified non-coding RNA is filed under the name plant metagenome. Its description in RNAcentral is "partial contains 5.8S ribosomal RNA, internal transcribed spacer 2, and large subunit ribosomal RNA". The stretch from base 1 to 105 matches the Rfam family "5.8S ribosomal RNA", at positions 50 to 154 of the family's 154-position model. The record is from RNAcentral.